UACGGAGGGUCCAAGCGUUGUCCGGAAUCAUUGGGUGUAAAGGGUGUGUAGGUGGAGGUGUAAGUCAGGGGUGAAAGCCCGCAGCUUAACUGCGGAACUGCCUUUGAUACUGCAUCUCUUGAGUCCUGGAGAGGUCACCAGAAUUCGUGGUGUAGCGGUGAAAUGCGUAGAUAUCACGAGGAAUACCAGAGGCGUAGGCGGGUGGCUGGACAGGCACUGACACUGAGGCACGAAAGCGUGGGGAGCGAACAGG
RNAcentral lists this unclassified non-coding RNA (253 nucleotides) under uncultured Bacteroidota bacterium. RNAcentral's name for it is "uncultured Bacteroidetes bacterium contains 16S-23S intergenic spacer region". It matches the Rfam family "Bacterial small subunit ribosomal RNA", at positions 524 to 776 of the family's 1533-position model. Lineage: Bacteria; Pseudomonadati; Bacteroidota. The record is from RNAcentral.